UACCACAAUAUUUUCCCAAAGUUUAGCUCUUAUAUCAUCCACCAUUUGAGAUGGAAAAACAUGCAGAUUGGAGACUCCAUGGUCUUUGUAUUCUCACUCCCAAUGUGUGCGUGUGAACUAGAAAAACAUCUAAAAUAUCAACAGUAUGAUUUCCCUUGAAUUUAUAUGUGAAAACCUGAAAGGCACAGAGGUUAAGUGAAUUCUCUGAGGUCAUCUGUUGACGAAUGUUAAAGUGGAAUUUGGAAGCAGCUCCCCUAACUUCAAGCAGCAAGAGGAAUCUAAUACUGCCUGCUUUGCUCACAGAGAUGACUUCAAAGUCAGAUGAGAAAGCUUAUGAUUUUCCCUAAGUGUCUUGAGUUCAUAAAUGAAGUCUCUGAGGUUAUCUUUUUCAUCUCGCCAUCUUUGUGGUGUAGUCAGAGCAACUAUUGCUACCAUAACAACCUCCAGAUGACAUUUCCUGAGAGACUUGGUGGUCUCAGCAAACACAGAUACAUCAGUAGAAUCUGACAUCAUGCUCUUCAUUAAUGAUUUAAUCUUCAAAACAGCAGCAUAAUUCAUUAAAGGGAAAUUUUCUGGGGAAUGCUAUAAGCAGGAUGUUAAGUCAGAUACUAUGUCAAAAGACCCUAUUCUUUCACAGUGGUCCAUUUUUGGUAUGCACUAUUUGUGAGGAAGGAAAAAAUUGUGCAUGUGUUUAACUGUUCAUGUUUCAGUUGAAAAUUGUGUUGUACCAUUCUGCUAUAUUCUGUUGAUUUAACUGGCUAUGUUGUUUCAUGUGUACAUGUAAAAUAAUGAAAAUAUUAUUUUUAAUAUAGGAGAUUACUUAAAAAACUGUUUAAAAUAGAAUUAAAAGUAGGUUUGUCUUGGUGCAAAAACUUUUUGAAAUCAAUACAUACAGUUUAAUCAUACUACACAUUUUUCACAAACAUUUUGAAGAUCCCUUCUAUGUAUGUGUCUGUGAAGAAGGAUUUUUUAGAAGAUUAAAACACUGCUUAGAUUAUGUCAAUGUAGAGUACAUGAUGUAAAUUAUGAGACUUGAAACCAAGUACUUAAGAAACAGAUUUGUUUGACUUGUGUAUCUAAAUAUUGGAGCAGAUUAUCUACGUGGUUAAGGUUUGUGACAAAGCUAAGCACAACUUCUAACUUUUCAUUCAUGAUGUUGAAGUGAAGUAGGAUAAAUAAACAGCUCUGUAUUUUAUACUAUAUCUACAUGCUAUGAAUAUGUGCAUACUGAAGAUCUUUUCCAUUUAAUGGAAACUGCUAAUAAAUGUAAAAUGCAAU
Oryctolagus cuniculus (rabbit) is the source of this 1278-nucleotide non-coding RNA. Lineage: Eukaryota; Metazoa; Chordata; Mammalia; Lagomorpha; Leporidae. The record is from RefSeq and is a predicted model, not a curated record.